RNAcentral lists this ribosomal RNA (371 nucleotides) under uncultured bacterium. Its description in RNAcentral is "bacterial SSU rRNA". It matches the Rfam family "Bacterial small subunit ribosomal RNA", at positions 527 to 896 of the family's 1533-position model. The record is from RNAcentral.
GUAGGGGGCAAGCGUUGUCCGGAUUUAUUGGGCGUAAAGCGCGUGUAGGCGGUCAGGCAGGUCUGACGUGAAAUCUCGAGGCUCAACCUCGAUCGGUCGUUGGAAACCACCUGGCUAGAGUCCGGAAGAGGAGAGUGGAAUUCCUGGUGUAGCGGUGAAAUGCGCAGAUAUCAGGAAGAACACCGAUGGCGAAGGCAGCUCUCUGGGACGGUACUGACGCUGAGACGCGAAAGCGUGGGGAGCGAACAGGAUUAGAUACCCUGGUAGUCCACGCCGUAAACGAUGGGUGCUAGGUGUGGGCGGUGUCGACUCCGUCCGUGCCGAAGCUAACGCAUUAAGCACCCCGCCUGGGGAGUACGGCCGCAAGGCUA